CAGCAGCCACGGUAAUACGAAGGGUGCAAGCGUUACUCGGAAUUACUGGGCGUAAAGCGUGCGUAGGUGGUGGUUUAAGUCCGUUGUGAAAGCCCUGGGCUCAACCUGGGAAUUGCAGUGGAUACUGGGUCACUAGAGUGUGGUAGAGGAUAGUGGAAUUUCCGGUGUAGCAGUGAGAUGCGUAGAGAUCGGAAGGAACAUCUGUGGCGAAGGCGACUAUCUGGGCCAACACUGACACUGAGGCACGAAAGCGUGGGGAGCAAACAGGAUUAGAUACCCCGGUAGUCCCUGUCUCUUAUAA
Molecule: ribosomal RNA, 301 nt
Filed under: uncultured bacterium
Lineage: Bacteria
Description: partial 16S ribosomal RNA
Rfam family: Bacterial small subunit ribosomal RNA
Source: RNAcentral